RNAcentral lists this long non-coding RNA (1375 nucleotides) under Equus caballus (horse). Its description in RNAcentral is "lncRNA (ENSECAG00000037315.3)". The record is from RNAcentral. Lineage: Eukaryota; Metazoa; Chordata; Mammalia; Perissodactyla; Equidae.
GACACCGUCAGUUUCCUCAAGUUCUGUCUAAUUCCACAUAAAUUUGUGUGGGCUCUUUAGGUUGGGAUGGUGAAGAAAUGCCAGUCAGCAGACUGAAAUCACCAUGGUUUGCAGCUGCCAGUUUGCCACUUCACUGGAGAGAUUUUCUGAGAUUCAAGCUGGACAUUUGGUCUGAGUGUCAUCUUAAUGAGAAGGAAAAAUGACUCCACGGUGCUGUGUGGGGUCCCCGUCUCUGCGCAGCAGUCAUGCUCCAGGGAGGGGCUCUGUGGAUCCAGAUGCAGCUGAAACAGAACAACACAAAUGGAAAACGACCUUUUCUGUCUUCUCGGAGAUGUUUUAAGAAGCUCCCUUGAGAGAGGUAGAAGAGAAAUGUGAGAGAGGAGAAUGCGUGAUGGAGGACCUGGGUUAGUCCGCGAGGGAUGGUGAGUGGAGAAGGGGCCAGAAAGAGACUGAACUCAGCGUUACAGCGGCGCCCAGAUGGGAAAACGAAAACCUUUGUGGACAGCAGGUAGCAGCUGCUAAAUAUGUCAGGCUAGAAGGCAGGUGCCUGAGUUAAGGAGUGGUUUUAAAGAAUGAAAUCAAACUGAAGGUGAAAAAUCAGCCCAACCGUUGCCUUUUAUCUUGACCCAGUGAAUAGAACAGGCCUCCCGCUGCAGAAACCCUGGAUCUAACCGUGAUUUUUAUGUAGCUCACUUGAUAUUUAUAGGUGUAGUUCUCUGAAAAAGGAAGGUAUUUUGGAGCCCAAUGGAUUUGAACCCCAGUUUCACUACCACUCUCUUUGAGCAGUUGUGGGUUGAAUAACAUCGAGCAGGAAGACUUGAAUGACAAGUGUGUGCAGCACACACUCUCCAGCCACGGCGGAGAAGCGACCCUGGCCCCUCACACAGCUCUGCCAGGCUUCCUCGGCACACGCAGGUGUUUGGAAGGUGCUGUCCUGCCCAUAUGGUGGCUUCUGAUCGUGGAGAGUCUCCUCAGAAAGGAAACUCGUGAAGACACCACAGCGCAGAGAUGCGUUACCUCAUACUCGGAUCUAAGAGGAGAAACCAGGAGAGCAGCCACUGUGCAAGCUGGAUGGACGGCGACAAAGGGCCAUCAGGACAGACAGACGCAGCAGCCGUGUCUUGUGUCUAUUUACCAUCCUGCGUAGGGGGGAUCUUAGAAAGAAAUAGGCUUUCUAGGCAGAGAAGGGCACUUUUCCUGGUCAUCCUAGGCUGUGAGUGACAAGAGCUCUAGGAAGGAGCACCUCUAGGCUGGCAUUAAACACGUGAACUUCCCUCCCCGUCGUACACAAAUACGUUCAUUCCUAGCGACUCAGAAAGAGAAUCUAAAUAUCACUGUAUUUUCACAGUGAUUAGGAAAGCUUUUGAUCACCACC